GAGACGUUGCCCUUCGGGGUAUACCUCCCACCCUUUGUUUAUUAUACCUUUGUUGCUUUGGCGGGCCCGUCCUCGGACCACCGGCUUCGGCUGGUCAGCGCCCGCCAGAGGACCUAAAACUCUUGGAUUUAAUAUUGUCUGAGUACUAUAUAAUAGUUAAAACUUUCAACAACGGAUCUCUUGGUUCU
Molecule: unclassified non-coding RNA, 188 nt
Filed under: rhizosphere metagenome
Description: partial ribosomal RNA internal transcribed spacer region
Source: RNAcentral